AUUGAACGCUGGCGGCAGGCUUAACACAUGCAAGUCGAACGAGUGGCGGACGGGUGAGCAAUGUCUGGGAAACUGCCUGAUGGAGGGGGAUAACUACUGGAAACGGUAGCUAAUACCGCAUACCAUCAGAUGUGCCCAGAUGGGAUUAGCUUGUUGGUGGGGUAACGGCUCACCAAGGCGACGAUCCCUAGCUGGUCUGAGAGGAUGACCAGCCAAACUGGAACUGGGAAACGUGCCAAACUCCUACGGAAGGCGGCAGAGGGGAAUGUGGCACAAUGGGCGAAGGCCUAAUGCAGCCAUGCCGGGUGUAUGAAGAGGGCCUUCGGGUUGUAAAGUACUUUCAGCGGGGAGGCGUUACCCGCAGAAGAAGCACCGGCUAACUCCGUGCCAGCCGCCGCGGUAAUUC
RNAcentral lists this ribosomal RNA (406 nucleotides) under uncultured bacterium. RNAcentral describes it as "partial 16S ribosomal RNA". It matches the Rfam family "Bacterial small subunit ribosomal RNA", at positions 30 to 526 of the family's 1533-position model. The record is from RNAcentral.